RNAcentral lists this long non-coding RNA (304 nucleotides) under Brassica napus (rape). RNAcentral's name for it is "long non-coding RNA (BNAP_LNC023041)". The record is from RNAcentral. Lineage: Eukaryota; Viridiplantae; Streptophyta; Magnoliopsida; Brassicales; Brassicaceae.
UUUAGGAUUUAGGGUUUAGGGUUUAGGGUUUAGGGUUUAGGGUUUAGAUUUUAGGGUUUAGAGUUUAGGGUUUAGGGUUUAGAGUUUAGGGUUAGGGUUUAUGGUUUAGGGUUUAGGGUUUAGAGUUUAGGGUUAGGGUUUAUGGUUUAGGGUUUAGGGUUUAGAGUUUAGGGUUAGGGUUUAUGGUUUAGGGUUUAGGGUUUAGAGUUUAGGGUUAGGGUUUAGAGUUUAGGGUUUAGGGUUUAGAGUUUAGGGUUAGGGUUUAUGGUUUAGGGUUUAGGGUUUAGAGUUUAGGGUUUAGGGU